AAUUCGCCCUUAGAGUUUGAUCAUGGCUCAGGACGAACGCUGGCGGCGUGCCUAACACAUGCAAGUCGAACGAAGCUACUUGGUUAGCUUGCUAACCGGGUAGACUUAGUGGCGGACGGGUGAGUAACACGUGGGUAACCUACCUGGGAGACCGGGAUAACAGCUCGAAAGGGCUGCUAAUACCGGAUGAAGUAUGAGUAAUUAGAUUUACUUGUACCAAAGGCGUUAAGUAGUGCUCCUGGAUGGGCCCGCGGCUCAUUAGCUAGUUGGUAGGGUAAAGGCUUACCAAGGCGAUGAUGGGUAGCCGGUCUGAGAGGAUGGUCGGCCACACUGGGACUGAGAACGGCCCAGACUCCUACGGGAGGCAGCAGUGGGGAAUAUUGCGCAAUGGGGGCAACCCUGACGCAGCGACGCCGCGUGAGUGAAGAAGGCCUUCGGGUUGUAAAGCUCUGUCUGGGGGGAAGAAGGAGACGGUACCCCCGGAGGAAGCCCCGGCUAACUACGUGCCAGCAGCCGCUAUAAGACGUGGGGGGCGAGCGUUGUCCGGAAUUACUGGGCGUAAAGGGCGUGUAGGCGGCCUAUCAAGUCGAUGGUGAAAGCCCUCGGCUCAACCGAGGAAUUGCCAUUGAAACUGGUGGGCUUGA
This 644-nucleotide ribosomal RNA is filed under the name uncultured low G+C Gram-positive bacterium. RNAcentral describes it as "bacterial SSU rRNA". It matches the Rfam family "Bacterial small subunit ribosomal RNA", at positions 1 to 645 of the family's 1533-position model. The record is from RNAcentral. Lineage: Bacteria; Bacillati; Bacillota.